UGGCUUGCUCGUCUACUCGCAUCAACACAAUACAUACAUAGUAUAGCAUAAAUUAACAUCACAUCAAACAUGCAAAUAAAAUAUACAGUAAAAAUCUACACAAUACAAUGAGUUCAUUGGAACUGGAAUCAUUAAAUUUGGAGUUAUAAAUUUCAAGUUAUGAAUUUCCUAAGAUUUAAUGUGCUUGAAAUAGGAUUAAAUGAUAAAUUAAUUUUAUUACUGUUUUCAUGUCCAAACAGAGACACUAAAUGGUAGAGAAUAAUAUUACAAAAUUUUAGAAACUGGAAUGGAUUAAUUUGGAUUAGAGAUGAAUUUUCUAUGCGUUUUACAAGUUCUAGCACUAUUUUCAUAUUAAAAAUUCAUUUUCCACUAUUAUUUAACCAAUUUACAAGUUUCUAGACUGCGCAACAAUUUCUAGUAAACACAGGGGCUACGGCGCAAGACUUCCUAUGACUCAGUAAAGACCCCGAGGGGACGGUGGGUUUAUUCCAGUAAAACAUAAGGUCUCUUUUGAAAGAAGCGCACGACGAAGGGGUAUCGGUGAAUCUAAGCCGUUAGAUCUACUUUCAACGGAUGGGAUUAGAUCUAGAAUGAAACAAACCGGUACGUGUCUACAGCCGUUGGAUCCGACAUCUGUGGUCAGGGUUUAAUGAAGGCGGGUUUCAAUCACGGCCCUAUGAUCCAGAUCCUGCGGAGUAGAUUUUUAAUAGCCAGAAGGUUAUCGCCGAUAUGAUCCUGUCCAUUGAAUACUGGAUGAACGCCCUAGAUCACUACUCUGAAGCGGUAUCCGCAAAUCUAAUCUCCACCGUCCAUAACUAGAUGGACGGCCCACGGCACAACUUGCCUAUUCCUUCACCUCCCCAACUCAGGCAGACAGGUGAGGCGGCGCCGAUAGCUCCCCACGACGGGGCCAUGGCCGGCGAUGGCCAUCCCACGCAAUAGUGCUUAGAACUUUUGAACGACAGGUGCUAACCAACGCUUGGAUCCUAGCGGGUACGUUGGUAUGAAUCUUACCGGGGUUGGAAGCGCAGAGGGCACUGCCCAUGAUGACGAGCGGCUCCACGGGCCCGAAGGGUUCCAGUGAGCAAUUCCGGGUUCAUCGGUCGACGAUCAUCCCCGCCGUGACGAAGACCACCUCCCCGGACCGCCCGUGAAGGCCCCGGGCCAAUCCUUGUGUCCUAAGCGGUCCCAAACGCGUAGAUCCAUGGCGGCGGCACUGGGUUUCCUGGUGCUGGCUUCGGACGCGGUGACCGCCAGGAGGAAGAAGACGAGGGCCCCCUAGAGCGCCGAGUGGGUCUUGAGCAUGCGCGUCACGAUGUGGGAGUCCCCGGGUGGCGCGGAUUUCGGCCAUGGCGACGGCGACAUCUUGGUUUCGCCCGCCACGGCACCCAUCACAUCACGCUCGGUGCCCGCGAUAUGACGAACAGGG
RNAcentral lists this long non-coding RNA (1429 nucleotides) under Zea mays. Its description in RNAcentral is "long non-coding RNA (ZMAY_LNC004279)". Lineage: Eukaryota; Viridiplantae; Streptophyta; Magnoliopsida; Poales; Poaceae. The record is from RNAcentral.